GUAGAGUAGCCUUGUUGCUACGAUCCACUGAGGUUAAGCCCUUGUUCUGAAGAUUUGU
Molecule: ribosomal RNA, 58 nt
Filed under: Lentinula edodes (shiitake mushroom)
Lineage: Eukaryota; Fungi; Basidiomycota; Agaricomycetes; Agaricales; Omphalotaceae
Description: partial 28S ribosomal RNA
Source: RNAcentral